Pelobates cultripes (western spadefoot toad) is the source of this 1287-nucleotide non-coding RNA. The record is from the annotation of a GenBank genome assembly. Lineage: Eukaryota; Metazoa; Chordata; Amphibia; Anura; Pelobatidae.
UAUACCGAUGUCUUCUCCAAACAAGUACCAUCAAGAGAGUGUUGAUACAGUGGUGGAGCCUGGCUGCCAUGCGAAUCAGUCACACUAUGCUUGAGCUCUGAAUAGAAAAGCUGAAUGUUAUACCUUUUCAGGUCUAAUUAUCAACAUGUCCGGCAUAACAGUUAAUCCUGACCCUCUGAAACCGGAGAGCUCAAGGUACAAGCAUCUUAGAGCCCCUAACAAGUGAUAUAUUCAGAUUUUGGCCUGGGCAAAUUAAAGGGACACUAUAGUCACCUGAACAACUUUAGCUUAAUGAAGCAGUUUUGGUGUAUAGAACAUGCCCCUGCAGCCUUACUGCUCAAUCCUCUGUCAUUUAGGAGUUAAAUCCCUUUGUUUAUGAACCCUAGUCACACCUACCUGCAUGUGACUUGCACAGCCUUCCAUAAACACUUCCUGUAAAGAGAGCCCUAUUUAUGCUUUCUUUAUUGCAAGUUCUGUUUAAUUAAGAUUUUCUUAUCCCCUGCUAUGUUAAUAGCUUGCUAGACCCUGCAAGAGCCUGCUGUAUGUGAUUAAAGUUCAAUUUAGAGCUUGAGAUACAAUUAUUUAAGGUAAAUUACAUCUGUUUGAAAGUGAAACCAGUUUGUUUUUUCAUGCAGGCUCUGUCAAUCAUAGCCAGGGGAGGUGUAGCUAGGGCUAGAUAAACAGAAACAAAGUGAUUUAACUCCUAAAUGACAGUGAAUUGAGCAGUGAAAUUGCAGGGGAAUGAUCUAUACACUAAAACUGCUUUAUUUAGCUAAAGUAAUUCAGGUGACUAUAGUGUUCCUUUAAGACCUUCUUGGUGCCACAGGUGCGAGUGAUGCAGCUGAUCUCUCCACCCAUAGUUUUCCUUGAACCCUAUGACAAUCUCAUAUGCCCCCACCUAAUGGUGUGGUUUAUGCUGGCAAUCAUCACUAGUGAUUAUAGAUUGAAACUUUGUUACCAGCCUAAUGUGUGCUCACUCUUUUACUAUCUAAGAUGGUGACAUUUGUAGACCCAUGAAGAGCCUAUACAGCAACAUGGAGAAUUCCUGGGUGCAUUCAACCUUCUGUGCUCCGCAUUCUGGGAAUGAUUGAAGCUCCGACAGGCUGCUGGGGUGAGUGCAUCCACUUAAUUGGCGCAAGCAGAGGCCUUGGGAAGACGCACCGUGUCAAAGGCCUCUGCGGCUCGAGUUGUGCCAGAGACAGUUGUGGGCCUAUUGUUCUGUGUAACUAGGCUCAAGCCACAGCCUCUGUUACUUUCCAGAAGGCUGGUUGCUAAGGGAUGUGCCCC